AAAUUGAAGAGUUUGAUCAUGGCUCAGAUUGAACGCUGGCGGCAGGCCUAACACAUGCAAGUCGAACGGCAGCACAGAAGAGCUUGCUCUUUGGGUGGCGAGUGGCGGACGGGUGAGUAAUGUCUGGGAAACUGCCCGAUGGAGGGGGAUAACUACUGGAAACGGUAGCUAAUACCGCAUAACGUCGCAAGACCAAAGUGGGGGACCUUCGGGCCUCACACCAUCGGAUGUGCCCAGAUGGGAUUAGCUAGUAGGUGGGGUAAUGGCUCACCUAGGCGACGAUCCCUAGCUGGUCUGAGAGGAUGACCAGCCACACUGGAACUGAGACACGGUCCAGACUCCUACGGGAGGCAGCAGUGGGGAAUAUUGCACAAUGGGCGCAAGCCUGAUGCAGCCAUGCCGCGUGUAUGAAGAAGGCCUUCGGGUUGUAAAGUACUUUCAGCGGGGAGGAAGGCGGUGAGGUUAAUAACCUCGCCGAUUGACGUUACCCGCAGAAGAAGCACCGGCUAACUCCGUGCCAGCAGCCGCGGUAAUACGGAGGGUGCAAGCGUUAAUCGGAAUUACUGGGCGUAAAGCGCACGCAGGCGGUCUGUUAAGUCAGAUGUGAAAUCCCCGGGCUUAACCUGGGAACUGCAUUUGAAACUGGCAGGCUUGAGUCUCGUAGAGGGGGGUAGAAUUCCAGGUGUAGCGGUGAAAUGCGUAGAGAUCUGGAGGAAUACCGGUGGCGAAGGCGGCCCCCUGGACGAAGACUGACGCUCAGGUGCGAAAGCGUGGGGAGCAAACAGGAUUAGAUACCCUGGUAGUCCACGCCGUAAACGAUGUCGACUUGGAGGUUGUGCCCUUGAGGCGUGGCUUCCGGAGCUAACGCGUUAAGUCGACCGCCUGGGGAGUACGGCCGCAAGGUUAAAACUCAAAUGAAUUGACGGGGGCCCGCACAAGCGGUGGAGCAUGUGGUUUAAUUCGAUGCAACGCGAAGAACCUUACCUGGCCUUGACAUCCAGAGAACUUAGCAGAGAUGCUUUGGUGCCUUCGGGAACUCUGAGACAGGUGCUGCAUGGCUGUCGUCAGCUCGUGUUGUGAAAUGUUGGGUUAAGUCCCGCAACGAGCGCAACCCUUAUCCUUUGUUGCCAGCGGCUCGGUCGGGAACUCAAAGGAGACUGCCGGUGAUAAACCGGAGGAAGGUGGGGAUGACGUCAAGUCAUCAUGGCCCUUACGGCCAGGGCUACACACGUGCUACAAUGGCGCAUACAAAGAGAAGCGACCUCGCGAGAGCAAGCGGACCUCAUAAAGUGCGUCGUAGUCCGGAUUGGAGUCUGCAACUCGACUCCAUGAAGUCGGAAUCGCUAGUAAUCGUAGAUCAGAAUGCUACGGUGAAUACGUUCCCGGGCCUUGUACACACCGCCCGUCACACCAUGGGAGUGGGUUGCAAAAGAAGUAGGUAGCUUAACCUUCGGGAGGGCGCUUACCACUUUGUGAUUCAUGACUGGGGUGAAGUCGUAACAAGGUAACCGUAGGGGAACCUGCGGUUGGAUCACCUCCUUACCUGAA
RNAcentral lists this ribosomal RNA (1548 nucleotides) under Pantoea dispersa. RNAcentral's name for it is "bacterial SSU rRNA". It matches the Rfam family "Bacterial small subunit ribosomal RNA". Lineage: Bacteria; Pseudomonadati; Pseudomonadota; Gammaproteobacteria; Enterobacterales; Erwiniaceae. The record is from RNAcentral.